This 484-nucleotide ribosomal RNA is filed under the name uncultured bacterium. RNAcentral describes it as "partial 16S ribosomal RNA". It matches the Rfam family "Bacterial small subunit ribosomal RNA", at positions 30 to 507 of the family's 1533-position model. The record is from RNAcentral.
AUUGAACGCUGGCGGCAGGCCUAACACAUGCAAGUCGAGCGGAUGAAGGGAGCUUGCUCCUGGAUUCAGCGGCGGACGGGUGAGUAAUGCCUAGGAAUCUGCCUGGCAGUGGGGGAUAACGUCCGGAAACGGGCGCUAAUACCGCAUACGUCCUGAGGGAGAAAGUGGGGGAUCUUCGGACCUCACGCUAUCAGAUGAGCCUAGGUCGGAUUAGCUAGCUGGUGGGGUAAAGGCCUACCAAGGCGACGAUCCGUAACUGGUCUGAGAGGAUGAUCAGUCACACUGGAACUGAGACACGGUCCAGACUCCUACGGGAGGCAGCAGUGGGGAAUAUUGGACAAUGGGCGAAAGCCUGAUCCAGCCAUGCCGCGUGUGUGAAGAAGGUCUUCGGAUUGUAAAGCACUUUAAGUUGGGAGGAAGGGCAGUAAGUUAAUACCUUGCUGUUUUGACGUUACCAACAGAAUAAGCACCGGCUAACUUCGUG